GAUGAACGCUGGCGGCGUGCUUAACACAUGCAAGUCGAGCGGAGCUUAUUAGUGAAUCCCUUUCGGGGGUGAAGCUUUUAAGUUUAGCGGCGGACGGGUGCGUAACGCGUGGGUAAUCUGCCCUUGUCACUGGGAUAACACAUCGAAAGGUGUGCUAAUACCGGAUAAAAUACAGACUCGGCAUCGAGAUUGUAUCAAAGUCAUGCGGACAAGGAUGAGCCUGCGUCUGAUUAGCUAGUUGGUGGGGUAAAAGCCUACCAAGGCCACGAUCAGUAGCCGACCUGAGAGGGUGAUCGGCCACACUGGAACUGAGACACGGUCCAGACUCCUACGGGAGGCAGCAGUGGGGAAUAUUGCACAAUGGGCGAAAGCCUGAUGCAGCAACGCCGCGUGAGUGAUGAAGGUUUUCGGAUCGU
This 416-nucleotide ribosomal RNA is filed under the name uncultured bacterium. RNAcentral's name for it is "bacterial SSU rRNA". It matches the Rfam family "Bacterial small subunit ribosomal RNA", at positions 28 to 426 of the family's 1533-position model. The record is from RNAcentral.